RNAcentral lists this ribosomal RNA (229 nucleotides) under Staphylococcus sp. RNAcentral describes it as "partial 16S ribosomal RNA". It matches the Rfam family "Bacterial small subunit ribosomal RNA", at positions 565 to 792 of the family's 1533-position model. Lineage: Bacteria; Bacillati; Bacillota; Bacilli; Caryophanales; Staphylococcaceae. The record is from RNAcentral.
GCGCGCGUAAGGCGGUUUUUUAAGUCUGAUGUGAAAGCCCACGGCUCAACCGUGGAGGGUCAUUGGAAACUGGAAAACUUGAGUGCAGAAGAGGAAAGUGGAAUUCCAUGUGUAGCGGUGAAAUGCGCAGAGAUAUGGAGGAACACCAGUGGCGAAGGCGACUUUCUGGUCUGUAACUGACGCUGAUGUGCGAAAGCGUGGGGAUCAAACAGGAUUAGAUACCCCCGUA